Long non-coding RNA from Syngnathoides biaculeatus (alligator pipefish), 4063 nucleotides. RefSeq lists it as uncharacterized. The transcript has 3 exons. The record is from RefSeq and is a predicted model, not a curated record. NCBI's taxonomy places the organism in Eukaryota, Metazoa, Chordata, Actinopteri, Syngnathiformes, Syngnathidae.
GCAAACGAAAAACGGAAAGAAACAUAAAUGGUGGUAUCCACCCAACCCGCCCCAAAAAUAAAUAAAUAAUACAAUAGCAACUCUAGCAUACCCGAAACCUACUACUCUUUUUUUCCCCCUCCACAAGAAUAAAUAAAUGAAUAAAAUCAAAAGAAAAAGUAAUAGGUCAAACUAACUAAAAGUGACCAAUGUUGACAAGGCACACACUGAGCAAUAACUAUAUAAGCUAAACCAAAAACCGUUAGAGGGGCACAACUUAUAAAGGUCUGACAUAAGAGUGUAUCAUGAAGCUCACCAUAACGUUCAAGUGAUUGUCUGAUUAAAGUUCUCAGCUUCUGUAAGCGUGGCAAACAGCUGUAUUCUUCCUUCGUGUAGGAUUCUCAACUUGCAGGGGUAAAUCUGGAAUCCACGGUAAAGCCCUUUUUCCACAAACUUCUUUCUCACCACGUUGAAGUCGUUGCGUUGGCGCAUGGUUUCGACCGACAAAUCUGGUGCAAAUGUGAGCUUCUUUUCUUCAUGGGUAAUGUUGAGCUGCCUAGCGGUGUGUAGAUCAAAUUGUCUGUCUUGAAACUUCAGAAAUCAAAUGAUCACAGCUUUACGUUGCCCUGGUUUUGGCCGCGCCAGAGUCCUGUGUACACGCCCAAGAAUGAAGCUCCUGUCACUGCCUAGUUUCAACCAUGUUGGUAACUCGUGCUCCACAAACUCGAGUAAGGACCGAUUCAUUUUAGCAUUUUCACGUAGGCCAAACAGACGAAGAUUUUUGUGGCGCCCCUGGUUCUCCAAAUCAUCCGCCUUGGUUUCCAAAAGAGCGAUGCGUUUGGCGGCAGUAGCUAGCUCCGCUUUAGUCACCUCCAAAUCAUCUUCCAGAGAUGAUAUACGCUCCUCGGCUUCACUUAUACGCGUUGUAUUGGAGGCUGCGUUGUUCCUGACCUCAACCAUGCUUUGCCCCAAAGCGUUGAUAGAGUUGUUCAUGUCUUUCAAUUGGCAGUAUUUGGUGUCGAACCUGGAAGCAAAGUCUGAGCGGAGGGCUUUUAGCUCCAUUAGCACAGCCGCCAUGUCUGCCACGCUUUCACAGGCCUCCUCGUGCUCUUCUCCGUGCUGCUUAUUAGAUUUUGGCCUUUGCGUGCCACGAGUCCGGCCAUAGCUUUUACCGCUGGUCGUUGAUGUGGUCUCAGGCAUUUUUCAAAGUUACUCUUACACUUGUUAAAUGUUUUUAUGCGGAGUUGAACGGAGCCUUGAUAUUAUGCUGCCAUCUUGUUUCCCUUAAGCUCCAUGUUAAAUAAAAUACAGUCUCUAUAAAAUAACAUUGACUAAAACUGCAAUAAAAAAAAUGUGUGUGUCUGUGCAAAAGAGUGUGUGAGAUGCAGGAUUGUAAAUUACAACUUGUUUGGAAGCAAAGGCAAGAUUGAGGAGAAUUAAGGUUUGAUCUUGGAAAGUAAAAUGGAAAAACUCCACGAGUAAGUCUACUUCACAGGAAUGCUUUGGGGAUUUAUGUUUUCAUAGUCAACCACCUCAAGGGUGACCACCCGGGGUUAUCACCAGAGGUUGUGGUGCCAAUUCUGCACUCAUUUGUUCAUUGCACCAAGUAUGUAAGGCCCACAGAUGUCCCAGGACCAGGAAGCGGGGAGGAUGAAUGCUCCCCGGGAACCUUCUGUUCAAGCCCAGGGUUGCAGGGGGAACUUUUUAAGAAAUGGACAAAGAACAGGGGAGAAGUUUUUGGCGGCCUUGAGAAAGGGAACAGAUGGGUUGCUCGCAGCUGUGACACCUCUUAAUAAAAUGAGAGUCCUUCCUCCAUUUGGAAGAAGACCAGACUAAAACAUUAGUUUUACAGUGUUCUAGAUAAUAGCACUCCAUUGCAAUGAACCAGAUAAACCCACAUUUUCAGUAUUAUUUUUUUAUUGCAACACGUCAAACAAGUUACCAGGAGAUGCAGUAGAUUCCAGAAAACCAACAAGACAUUCAUGAUAUACACACUUAAUGCUGAGCAACUGGGCAAUUUGUUAAAAGUGGUGUUUAAAAAGAUAGCUGUCUGCCGUUAACUUUACAAACUCAAAACUGUUUUGUACAAACUUUUAUUCAAGGAUUUACGAAUCCUUGGAAUCACUAAACUAAUAUUUAGUUGUCUGACCAGAGUUUUGAAACUGCUUCACAUCUCUGUGGCAUGGAGUCAACCAAUUUGUGUCACCUUUCAGCGGUUAUUCCACUCCCAAGAUUCCUUACUGAUAUUCCACAAUUCAUUUCCGUAUCUUGACUUUGCAUCAGAAAUAGAAUUUUUGAUUUCACCCCACAAAUUUUCAAUUGGAUUAAGGUCUGGGGAUUGGGCUGGCCUUUCCAUUACAUUAAUUUUGUAGGUUUGGAAAAAGACUGCAUGUUUACCAGUGUGUUUGUGGUCAUUGUCUUGUUGAAACACUAUUUCAAGGGGAUGUCCUCUUCAGCAUAAGGCAACAUGUCCUCAUCAAGAAUUUUGACACAUGUAAACUGAUCCAUGAUCCCUGGAAUGUCAGAAUCAGAAUAAACUUUGUUGGCCAAGCGUGUAACAACACACAAGGAAUUUGUCCCUGGCAGUCUGUGCCGUCCUGCUAUGGCAUUCAGAAUAAAGAACAAACAAACUAACAAGAACAAAGAACAAGAGACAUUCAGUUAAUAGGAACUAUUCCUCCUAAGAGUUACAGAUGUGCAAGAUACAGUCUUCUUCAUUUAGAACAUAUAUGAGUGUGUCAACACCCCAUAUUAUGUAAAAGGGUAUGGAAAGUCCUCAAAGCACCUUUUGCUUCUCUUAUACAGUUUUUUUAUUUUAUAAUCUGAAAUCAUUGAUGAAGGAAAUAUUUGUAGUUUUCAAUUAUCAAAAAUUGAUCGCAGAUUUGCUGGAACAAUCCGAGCACACAGUGGGAAAUCCCGAGAAGGGACGUGACGUCAGAACAAGACACAUAAACAUGGCUGCCGUUCGACACCAAUGGAAGAACGACGAUGAAUUUUCCAAUAAUUCGGGCGAUGAACAUGAUUCUGAAGGGUCAAAUGAAGAUUGUGAAGAAUAUGAGCUUUAUAAAAGCUUUAAAGGUUAUCAACAUGCUUUGUGUUGGAAACACUGACUGGUAAGCAUUUGUAAAGUUUUUUUUAUUUAGCCAUACACUGCUAAAUAGAGAUGGCUUUGAUGUCCUGAAUUAAUAUCUGAGAUUUUUGAUCUUGUUUUAAAUUAUGCAAAGGCCAUAUAUUUAAUUGCUAUAUUUUCACAAAUAAGGAUUUUAAUUAACACAAUCAAUUUUGAAAGUUGUCACAUUAAUUUAAGAGCAAUAGCUGGUUAUACCAUAAAUAUAUUUUCAUGUGGUAAAAGUCUUGGAACUUCUUCUGAGAGCCAUAACCAGACAGUACCCAGAAGCGUCCAUGCCCAUUUUAGUCAAUAUUUUCCCAAGAUGUCAUGAGCAAAACCGCAAAACUUUAUCCUGACACCUGUAAACCGGUAUCUUGUGGUUUUGUUUGGGCAAGACAUACUUAAAAUAGAAAUGUAAAUGGGGUGGAUGGUUCUGUGUACUGGACUGAUGUGGGUCUUUGAGCUGUAGAAGUCUGUGAAUGUGAACAGUUUUUAAAAUAUUUUUCCUAUAUCCAUGUGUGCAUGUAAAUGCUGCAUACUCAUGGAAACAAAAGAAUUUUUUUUGUCAUGAGUCAACAUAUUCACCAAAAAAUGUCAGAUUAUACAGACCAUCCGCUGCAGUGCACCCAGGAUUUAUUGCCAGCUGUCUGAUACCAUUGAAACUUGAGGUUGCCUAUCUCCAAUUCAGGCAAAAGUAUCAGCAGCGACUGGAUUUUCCACAACAAGAGACUAAUCGGGAGAAAUGUCCCGACCAACUCUCCAGUUAAAGGGUUAAGCUACCCCUUUACCCCAGCCGACUCUAACACCGUGUGUCCAGGAGGACGGGAGCUUCUUAAGUCAGUGUCGAGACAUCCUGUGUGGUGAUUCGAUUGUGACGGGCUUCCUGUUCAGGAACUCAACAACGCUGCAAACAUCUUGCAAGCCGUGUGCUUCGCCGUUGAAAAACCGUUGGGUGUGAGCUGGGGGCUGCAUCCU